AUGAACGCUGGCGGCGUGCCUAAUACAUGCAAGUCGAGCGAACGGACGAGAAGCUUGCUUCUCUGAUGUUAGCGGCGGACGGGUGAGUAACACGUGGAUAACCUACCUAUAAGACUGGGAUAACUUCGGGAAACCGGAGCUAAUACCGGAUGAUAUUUUGAACCGCAUGGUUCAAAAGUGAAAGACGGUCUUGCUGUCACUUAUAGAUGGAUCCGUGCUGCAUUAGCUAGUUGGUAAGGUAACGGCUUACCAAGGCAACGAUGCAUAGCCGACCUGAGAGGGUGAUCGGCCACACUGGAACUGAGACACGGUCCAGACUCCUACGGGAGGCAGCAGUAGGGAAUCUUCCGCAAUGGGCGAAAGCCUGACGGAGCAACGCCGCGUGAGUGAUGAAGGUCUUCGGAUCGUAAAACUCUGUUAUUAGGGAAGAACAUAUGUGUAAGUAACUGUGCACAUCUUGACGGUACCUAAUCAGAAAGCCACGGCUAACUACGUG
RNAcentral lists this ribosomal RNA (496 nucleotides) under uncultured bacterium. RNAcentral describes it as "partial 16S ribosomal RNA". It matches the Rfam family "Bacterial small subunit ribosomal RNA", at positions 29 to 507 of the family's 1533-position model. The record is from RNAcentral.